Molecule: ribosomal RNA, 638 nt
Filed under: uncultured bacterium
Lineage: Bacteria
Description: bacterial SSU rRNA
Rfam family: Bacterial small subunit ribosomal RNA
Source: RNAcentral
GAAAGAAUAUCGGAGACGGAUGGGCAUGCGGCGCAUUAGCUAGUUGGCGGGGUAACGGCCCACCAAGGCGACGAUGCGUAGGGGUUCUGAGAGGAAGGUCCCCCACACUGGUACUGAGACACGGACCAGACUCCUACGGGAGGCAGCAGUGAGGAAUAUUGGUCAAUGGGCGAGAGCCUGAACCAGCCAAGUCGCGUGAGGGAGUACUGCCCUAUGGGUUGUAAACCUCUUUUGUCGGGGAGCAAAAGCCGGACGUGUCCGGCUGUGAGAGUACCCGAAGAAAAAGCAUCGGCUAACUCCGUGCCAGCAGCCGCGGUAAUACGGAGGAUGCGAGCGUUAUCCGGAUUUAUUGGGUUUAAAGGGUGCGCAGGCGGAUUUUUAAGUCAGCGGUCAAAUCGUGGGGCUCAACCCCAUCCAGCCGUUGAAACUGGGGAUCUAGAGUGUGCGAGAGGUAUGCGGAAUGCGUGGUGUAGCGGUGAAAUGCAUAGAUAUCACGCAGAACCCCGAUUGCGAAGGCAGCAUACCGGUGCACAACUGACGCUCAGGCACGAAAGCGUGGGUAUCGAACAGGAUUAGAUACCCUGGUAGUCCUCGCAGUAAACGAUGAAUGCUACCUGUUUGGCCAGAUUGAAGGCUGA